This 574-nucleotide long non-coding RNA is filed under the name Cricetulus griseus (Chinese hamster). RNAcentral describes it as "lncRNA (ENSCGRG00015041498.1)". The record is from RNAcentral. Lineage: Eukaryota; Metazoa; Chordata; Mammalia; Rodentia; Cricetidae.
GUGAAAUCUAGCAGGCAGAUUGAUUUUCAGUUCCAUUUUUGCGUGUAGUAAUAGGUAGCUCAACGCUUCUGGAUAGGCUGGUUGUUCUGUGGAACAAGUGGACAUCAACACAUAACACAAGCGUUUCCUUCUGGGAUCGAGAAACAAGUGUGUGAGAAAAGACAGCUGUCAUCGCUCUUCCAGCCUUCCUGAGCCACUGAUGCUACUACUGUAGACACCUUGGAACACUCCCUUCCGUAUCUGCUCUGGUCACUCCUGGAAGAACAAAAGCACCCGGCCGUCUCCUUAGAACAAAGAUUUGUGUCCACUGCCCAGCUGCUAGAGACCACAGCAUGCAGCCAAGGUCACUUUGCAGAAGAGAUAUGCAUGACUUCACAGUGUUCACAGUAGCUUCCUGUCAUAUGUUUGGUAAGGAUCGAAGGGACAGACGGAAGGGUGUGUCUCUUCCUGUGGCAUUGAGAGCCUGGUUUGUAGACAUUCCUCAGAGGGAGGUUCUUGGGAAGAGACACAAAACUCAUCUUCAGGGCAGUUCUAAUGUCACUGCUGGUUUUGUGAUUCUAUCCAGUGAGAAGCU